UACAGAGGUCUCAAGCGUUGUUCGGAUUCAUUGGGCGUAAAGGGUGCGUAGGCGGCGCCGUAAGUCUGGUGUGAAAUCCUGGGGCUUAACCCCAGAACUGCACUGGAUACUGCGGUGCUCGAGGACUGGAGAGGAGAUUGGAAUUCACGGUGUAGCAGUGAAAUGCGUAGAUAUCGUGAGGAAGACCAGUGGCGAAGGCGGAUCUCUGGACAGUUCCUGACGCUGAGGCACGAAGGCCAGGGGAGCAAACGGG
RNAcentral lists this ribosomal RNA (253 nucleotides) under uncultured Spartobacteria bacterium. Its description in RNAcentral is "partial 16S ribosomal RNA". It matches the Rfam family "Bacterial small subunit ribosomal RNA", at positions 524 to 776 of the family's 1533-position model. Lineage: Bacteria; Pseudomonadati; Verrucomicrobiota; Spartobacteria. The record is from RNAcentral.